This 468-nucleotide ribosomal RNA is filed under the name uncultured bacterium. RNAcentral's name for it is "partial 16S ribosomal RNA". It matches the Rfam family "Bacterial small subunit ribosomal RNA", at positions 28 to 507 of the family's 1533-position model. The record is from RNAcentral.
GACGAACGCUGGCGGCGUGCUUAACACAUGCAAGUCGAACGGAAAGGCCCUGCUUUUGUGGGGUGCUCGAGUGGCGAACGGGUGAGUAACACGUGAGUAACCUGCCCUUGACUUUGGGAUAACUUCAGGAAACUGGGGCUAAUACCGGAUAGGAGCUCCUGCUGCAUGGUGGGGGUUGGAAAGUUUCGGCGGUUGGGGAUGGACUCGCGGCUUAUCAGCUUGUUGGUGGGGUAGUGGCUUACCAAGGCUUUGACGGGUAGCCGGCCUGAGAGGGUGACCGGCCACAUUGGGACUGAGAUACGGCCCAGACUCCUACGGGAGGCAGCAGGCGGGAAUAUUGCGCAAUGGGCGGACGCCUGAUGCAGCAACGCCGCGUGCGGGAUGACGGCCUUCGGGUUGUAAACCGCUUUCGCCUGUGACGAAGCGUGAGUGACGGUAAUGGGUAAAGAAGCACCGGCUAACUACGUG